AAAGGGACAAGAACCUGUUGAUAGAUGCUUUCUGGCCAUGCCAGCUUUCAGAGAAAAUAUAGGGAAGGCAGGACUGUUUCUGCCUGCACCACUAACCAACUGGGUAGGAAAAAUGCUUUCAGCUCAUACAGGAGCUUGUGAAAAUGUUUCUGCACUACAAGGAGAAACUAAUGAACCAGUGACACAGAAAACAUGGUGCUCCCUCAGGGGGAUGUGAUACCAAGGACCCUUACACCCCUGUUGCAGAGGGCUGCAGUGGGGGGAGAGGGAAUUUGUGUAAUGUUGCUUCCAUGGAGCCACUGAGCAAAAGCUGCUUUGAGAAGUGGGCUUCCAGAACUGGAUGAGACACCAUUUCACACAGUAUGGGAGUGAUCUGGGCCCAAAGCUGCCUCAGGACUGUAUUCCCGCUGUCAGCAUUGUGUAAGUGGAGUUCAGUAACAGGGAAGGGACAAAGAUGUGCAGGGCUCACAACACCUGCCUGAGAUGCACUUGACUAGUGCAAUUAGUUUGCUGUGUUCUCCAAGCUAACGACAGUUUUGUCAUUUUUUUUUCCUAUGGAUUUGUUGCUUUUCUUUAGUUUAAUUUCUGUUUUUUUUUUUUUUUUGUUGUUUCCUAAAGUUUCCCCCACUUCUGAGACUCAUUUCUUGUAGAUAGUGAAUUGUGGUUUCUUGCAGGUUCUUCUCAGGAUGGAACUCCCCAAAUUUUAGAAAUUCCCCUAUGGUAGACUGACGCUAGUUAUACCUAAUACAUAUUGCUGACAGCAAUAUCUGGCAUAAAGGUGACAGGGAUGUCAAUCAUGUAUUGCCUAUUGCUGCUGUCCAGCUGAACAACAUGACUUCAGAUCAUCUGUGAUUACAUGUCAGUAUGUUUAUUAUUGAUUUAUUUAAUUUAGCAUUUUUUUUCCAACUGUCCUUGAUACUUCUAACCAUGCUUGGAGAUGAGUGUCUGACACACAGAUCACUGCUUCCAAGAGGGUAUGGGCAGCUGGCAAAGAGAACUCAAUAACACAAUUUGCUCUGCUGAUUUUAUUGAGUAUGUAAGUAAAAGGGUUUUCGUUCAUCUCGGUGA
This 1068-nucleotide long non-coding RNA is filed under the name Anas platyrhynchos platyrhynchos (common mallard). RNAcentral describes it as "lncRNA (ENSAPLG00000028270.1)". The record is from RNAcentral. Lineage: Eukaryota; Metazoa; Chordata; Aves; Anseriformes; Anatidae.